GCCGGGCGCAGUGACGCACGCCUGUAAUCCCAGCGGCUUGGGAGGCUGAGGCAGGAGGAUCGCUAGUUCAAAACCAGCCAAAGAAAUGGUGAGGCACUAAGCAAAUCAGUGAGACCCUGUCUCUA
This 125-nucleotide small RNA is filed under the name Marmota monax (woodchuck). Lineage: Eukaryota; Metazoa; Chordata; Mammalia; Rodentia; Sciuridae. The record is from RNAcentral.